Molecule: transfer RNA, 93 nt
Filed under: Schizothecium vesticola
Lineage: Eukaryota; Fungi; Ascomycota; Sordariomycetes; Sordariales; Schizotheciaceae
Rfam family: tRNA
About the family: Transfer RNA (tRNA) molecules are approximately 80 nucleotides in length. Their secondary structure includes four short double-helical elements and three loops (D, anti-codon, and T loops).
Source: Rfam by way of RNAcentral
GGCACUUUGGCGGAGUGGUUAACGCGCUGCCCUGCUACCAAGCAGAUCCAGGCAGUUCCUUCGGGAGCGCAGGUUCGAAUCCUGCAGGUGUCG